UACCCUUUUCUUAUAUCAUUUUCUUUCACUCCUUCCAGAUCUUUCUAAUUCUCUUGUCACCGUUUGCGAUCAUUGCUACUGUCAUUAGUGAUGUUGCAGUACCUGUUUUAAGUGAAGAUCUUAUGGAGAUACCUGAAGCCCCGGACUGCUCGGUCCUCUUUUAUUGGAUUCUAUAUCGAACCAGAAAGCCUAGCGUUCUCCAGUAAUUAACCCCUCUCUGCAUCAUACAAACUGGGUUUCAACAUAUUUCCAUACAAAGACUAAAUGCAGGUACUAUGCGUAAUUGGCUGGGAUUUCUCCUUAGCAUCAUUAGAAGUCUCGCAAGCUUAAAAUGCCUGAAGUCUGUUGAACAAUACUUUAUUAUUAUUAUUGAUCCCCUGUGGAUUUUAUUUCAACAAUGGUGAUACUUUGAUAUUACAGUUAAUGUUGAAGUAUAUUUAUCUUUAUGCUU
This is a long non-coding RNA of Helianthus annuus (common sunflower), 451 nucleotides long. RefSeq lists it as uncharacterized. NCBI's taxonomy places the organism in Eukaryota, Viridiplantae, Streptophyta, Magnoliopsida, Asterales, Asteraceae. The transcript is spliced from 4 exons. The record is from RefSeq and is a predicted model, not a curated record.